This 546-nucleotide ribosomal RNA is filed under the name uncultured bacterium. RNAcentral describes it as "bacterial SSU rRNA". It matches the Rfam family "Bacterial small subunit ribosomal RNA", at positions 353 to 886 of the family's 1533-position model. The record is from RNAcentral.
AGUGAGGAAUUUUGCGCAAUGGGGGAAACCCUGACGCAGCAACGCCGCGUGAGUGAAGAAGGCUCUUGGGUCGUAAAGCUCUGUCAACUGGGAAGAAAUUAGUUUUAUUUAAUAGAUAAGGCUAUUGACGGUACCAGUGGAGGAAGCGCCGGCUAACUCCGUGCCAGCAGCCGCGGUAACACGGGGGGCGCAAGCGUUAUUCGGAAUUAUUGGGCGUAAAGGGCGCGCAGGCGGUCUUGUCCGUCAGGUGUGAAAGCUCGGGGCUCAACCCCGGAAGUGCACUUGAAACAGCAAGACUUGAAUACGGGAGAGGAGAGAGGAAUUCCUGGUGUAGAGGUGAAAUUCGUAGAUAUCAGGAGGAACACCGAUGGCGAAGGCAUCUCUCUGGACCGAUAUUGACGCUGAGGCGCGAAGGCGUGGGUAGCGAACGGGAUUAGAUACCCCGGUAGUCCACGCAGUAAACGUUGUACACUCGGUGUGGCGGAUAUUAAAAUCUGCUGUGCCUAAGCUAACGCAUUAAGUGUACCCCGCCUGGGAANGUACGGA